This 399-nucleotide RNase P RNA is filed under the name Planctomycetaceae bacterium. RNAcentral describes it as "RNase P RNA component class A". It matches the Rfam family "Bacterial RNase P class A". Rfam says of the family: Ribonuclease P (RNase P) is a ubiquitous endoribonuclease, found in archaea, bacteria and eukarya as well as chloroplasts and mitochondria. Its best characterised activity is the generation of mature 5'-ends of tRNAs by cleaving the 5'-leader elements of precursor-tRNAs. The record is from RNAcentral. Lineage: Bacteria; Pseudomonadati; Planctomycetota; Planctomycetia; Planctomycetales; Planctomycetaceae.
GGGGUGGGCCGGAUGGUCGCUGGUCGGUCCGAAAGGGCCGGCGAGAGGAAAGUCCGGGCUCCGCAGGACAGGGUGGUCGGUAACGCCGACCGGCCGUAAGGCUAGGGAAAGUGCCACAGAGAAUAGACCGCCGCGGCUGACGCUGCGGUAAGGGUGAAACGGUGAGGUAAGAGCUCACCAGCGGCCGAGGUGACUCGGCCGGCUAGGUAAACCCCACCCGGAGCAAGGCCAAGCAGAGGGAAGGCGGCUACGGCCGCCACGGGCUGGUCCGGCCCGUUCGACCCUCGGGUAGGCCGCUGGAGGCGCCGAGCAAUCGGCGUCCUAGAGAAAUGACCAUCGCCUCGGCGAUCGCGCUGCGACGCCGCGGAACAGAACCCGGCUUACAGGCCCGCCCCCCGC